Molecule: ribosomal RNA, 253 nt
Filed under: uncultured bacterium
Lineage: Bacteria
Description: partial 16S ribosomal RNA
Rfam family: Bacterial small subunit ribosomal RNA
Source: RNAcentral
AACGUAGGACGCAAGCGUUAUCCGGAGUUACUGGGCGUAAAGGGCGUGUAGGCGGCUUUUCAAGUUCGUGGUGAAAGACCCCGGCUAAACCGGGGGAGGUCGAGGGAGACUGAGAAGCUAGAGGGCGGUAGAGGGACAGGGAAUUCCGGGUGUAGUGGUGAAAUGCGUAGAGAUCCGGAGGAACACCAGUGGCGAAGGCGCUGUCCUGGGCCGCAACUGACGCUGAAACGCGAAAGCAUGGGGAGCGAACAGG